RNAcentral lists this ribosomal RNA (406 nucleotides) under uncultured bacterium. RNAcentral describes it as "partial 16S ribosomal RNA". It matches the Rfam family "Bacterial small subunit ribosomal RNA", at positions 30 to 526 of the family's 1533-position model. The record is from RNAcentral.
AUUGAACGCUGGCGGCAGGCUUAACACAUGCAAGUCGAACGAACGGCGGACGGGUGAGUAAUGUCUGGGAAACUGCCUGAUGGAGGGGUAUAACUACUGGAACCGGUCGCUACUACUGCAUACCGUCAUCUUUGGCCAGAUGGGAUUAGGUAGUGGGUGGGGUAAAGGCUCACGUAGGCGACGAUCCCUAGCUGGUCUGAGAGGAUGACCGGCCAAACUGGAACUGAGACACGGUCCAGACUCCUACGGGAGGCAGCAGUGGGGAAUAUUGCACAAGGGGCGAAAGUCUGAUGCAGCCAUGCCGCGUGAGUGAAGAAGGCCUUCGGGUUGUAAAGCACUUUCAGCGAGGAGGCGGUACCCGCAGAAGAAGCACCGGCUAACUCCGUGCCAGCAGCCGCGGUAAUUC